This is a long non-coding RNA of Lolium rigidum, 822 nucleotides long. RefSeq lists it as uncharacterized. The record is from RefSeq and is a predicted model, not a curated record. The transcript is spliced from 2 exons. NCBI's taxonomy places the organism in Eukaryota, Viridiplantae, Streptophyta, Magnoliopsida, Poales, Poaceae.
CAGUACAGGGCACAAUGGUUUCGGAAAGCUCACUCGAGAUCUCGUCGGUCAGUUCGUCUUGCCUGCUCUUCUCAUUCACGCAGUAAUCCAUUCAGUUUUAAUUGGUUUUGAUCUUGCUGACGCCUGACCUUGCAUGUCUGUUUCAGAUCGGCCUUGAGGAUUCAGGAUCCAAAGCAGACGACGAGGUGAGCGUUGGAUAUGAUGGCCACGGCAACGAUGAAUAGCAAGCCAUUGCCGGCGGGGAUGGGAAUGAAGUGAAUUUGUUGUUUGUUCCUCCUGAGGUUGCUCCGGGCUUUGUGGUCGAGGAGGAGCAUGUGGCGGAGAGCAUGGGCGCCGGUGGCGUUGGCCUUGCAGUCGGGCUGGUUCAGCUCGAGGACAGCGACUCUUCUUCAGAUGCAGGGUACCAAGACGUCGACGAGGGCGACGACGAGGUGCUAAGCCACCGGCGUCGUUUUGGCGACGACGGCGUCCGCAACCUCAUGCAGGGACGGGGCUGCGCUCGUCUAGUUUGACUCAGCUUCGGCCGUCCCGGAAGCCGGAACAAACUAUUGUCAGUUAGUAGUUAGUCGUCAGUUAGCAUUUCAAGGUCAGAUUAACAAAUGCAGACGAUGUUUUUUAGUUCUGUUGUUCCUCUAGAUUCAGUAACUGGCUUGGACAGCAGUUUAGAGUUCAGUUGUUUGUUUUGGGAUCCAUUUAGUUCGAUGAAAACUACCAACCAAUGAUUCUUGUACUCCCUUCCUGUGUCAUGUAAGCUGUUCCAAUGUCAUGUGAAUGAGUUUUAUCAAUGAAAAUGGUGUGUGUUGGGCAUCCUUUUUUUUGCAA